AUGCUGAUGCUGCUGGAUCAAGGACCACGCUCUGAGAAGCAAGGGUUUAUGGGGCUUUCUUGGACUGCACUCUGGCCAAACGCAGUGACUCCAGUAAGGCGUGGCCUUUGCAACCACAGGAAGAGCAGAAGUCUGCUGUGGAGCCGCCUGCAUCCAAGUCCAGCUCUGCUGCUUGAUGGGAAUGGGCCCUUGGGACAGAUUCUUCUCUUGGAAUCUGAGUGUUCUCAGAGGAGGCAGAGGAUGAUGACACAAACUUACAGACUGGGACUCCAAGGAUCAGCCAGAUGA
This 288-nucleotide long non-coding RNA is filed under the name Pan troglodytes (chimpanzee). Its description in RNAcentral is "lncRNA (ENSPTRG00000054233.1)". The record is from RNAcentral. Lineage: Eukaryota; Metazoa; Chordata; Mammalia; Primates; Hominidae.